AGAGUUUGAUCAUGGCUCAGGACGAACGCUGGCGGCGUGCCUAAUACAUGCAAGUCGAGCGCGGGAAGCCGGCGGACUCCUUCGGGAGGAAACCGGUGGAACGAGCGGCGGACGGGUGAGUAACACGUGGGCAACCUGCCGGACUGAUGGGAAUAACCCCGGGAAACCGGGGCUAAUGCCCAAUACGCCCUGACCUCGCCUGAGGUCAGCGGUAAAGCAGGGAUCUUCGGAUCCUUGCACAGUCCGAUGGGCCCGCGGCGCAUUAGCUAGUUGGAGAGGUAAGGGCUCCCCAAGGCGACGAUGCGUAGCCGACCUGAGAGGGUGAUCGGCCACACUGGGACUGAGACACGGCCCAGACUCCUACGGGAGGCAGCAGUAGGGAAUCAUCCGCAAUGGGCGAAAGCCUGACGGUGCAACGCCGCGUGAGUGAUGAAGGUUUUCGGAUCGUAAAGCUCUGUUGACAGGGAAGAACCCACGUCAGUCGAACAGGCUGGCGUGCUGACGGUACCUGUCCAGAAAGCCCCGGCUAACUACGUGCCAGCAGCCGCGGUAAUACGUAGGGGGCAAGCGUUGUCCGGAAUUAUUGGGCGUAAAGGGCACGCAGGCGGUUUCGUCAGUCCGAUGUGACAGGCCACGGCUCAACCGUGGAAGGCCAUUGGAAACUGCGAAACUUGAGGACAGAAGAGGAGAGUGGAAUUCCACGUGUAGCGGUGAAAUGCGUAGAUAUGUGGAGGAACACCAGUGGCGAAGGCGACUCUCUGGUCUGUACCUGACGCUGAGGUGCGAAAGCAUGGGGAGCAAACAGGAUUAGAUACCCUAGUAGUCC
This 826-nucleotide ribosomal RNA is filed under the name uncultured bacterium. RNAcentral describes it as "bacterial SSU rRNA". It matches the Rfam family "Bacterial small subunit ribosomal RNA", at positions 8 to 796 of the family's 1533-position model. The record is from RNAcentral.